Molecule: ribosomal RNA, 491 nt
Filed under: uncultured bacterium
Lineage: Bacteria
Description: partial 16S ribosomal RNA
Rfam family: Bacterial small subunit ribosomal RNA
Source: RNAcentral
UUGAACGCUGGCGGCAUGCUUUACACAUGCAAGUCGCACGGUAACAGGCCUUCGGGUGCUGACGAGUGGCGAACGGGUGAGUAAUGCAUCGGAACGUACCCAGAGGUGGGGGAUAACGCAGCGAAAGCUGUGCUAAUACCGCAUGUGAUCUGAGGAUGAAAGCGGGGGACCGAGCAGCAAUGUUUGGCCUCGCGCCUUUGGAGCGGCCGAUGUCGGAUUAGCUAGUUGGUGGGGUAAAGGCCUACCAAGGCGACGAUCCGUAGCUGGUCUGAGAGGACGAACAGCCACACUGGGACUGAGACACGGCCCAGACUCCUACGGGAGGCAGCAGUGGGGAAUUUUGGACAAUGGGCGCAAGCCUGAUCCAGCAAUGUCGCGUGCGGGAAGAAGGCCUUCGGGUUGUAAACCGCUUUUGGCAGGAACGAAACGGUGUCCGCUAAUACCGGGCGCUAAUGACGGUACCUGCAGAAUAAGCACCGGCUAACUACGUG